Xenia sp. Carnegie-2017 is the source of this 696-nucleotide long non-coding RNA. RefSeq lists it as uncharacterized. The record is from RefSeq and is a predicted model, not a curated record. The transcript is spliced from 4 exons. NCBI's taxonomy places the organism in Eukaryota, Metazoa, Cnidaria, Anthozoa, Malacalcyonacea, Xeniidae.
GAAGCUCUUUGUAGUCGAAGACAUACAAACCUUAUUUAUGUGAAAAUGUGAGCCUUUUCAUUUAGCUUUCGAAAUAUCAGUGAUAAAUAUUCGCGGUGUGGAAAUUGCUUUUCCGUUUAAGCCUUACGAUUGUCAAAUAAAGUACAUGGAGAAGGUCAUUCAGUGUUUGCAAGAGGGUAAGAAUGGCAUUCUCGAAUCUCCAACUGGUACUGGUAAAACACUGUGCUUGCUCUGUGCAACAUUGACUUGGCGUGACACAUACAAAUCACAUUUGCAACUCAGCAACUGAAUACCAAAGUACAACAGAAAAAAGCAAAUGGCAGGUUUUAUGAAAACUUAAAGGAAAACUUAGGUCAAGCCGCUAUUGGUCAGAUGAUGAUGAUGGAAACCCAGACUACGAAGUGCCAAAAAUCAUAUAUACCUCAAGAACACAUUCUCAGCUUACACAGGCAGUUAAAGAACUCAAAAACAACAUUUAUAAACCUAAAGUUUGUGUCUUGGGAUCUAGAUAACAACUUUGCAUUCAUCCACAAGUUGUACAACAAGAAACCCAUUCUGCUAAGGUUAGUUAAAAGUCAUUAGUCCAAGGUUGGUUAUUAAUUUCAGUUUACUCUCAAUACUGCCAUGGACAUUUAAUUAGCAUUUAUGUCUCAAUUAAGAUACUGUGGCCAUCUGACCAUUUUUUUAUCAAGACAC